RNAcentral lists this ribosomal RNA (463 nucleotides) under uncultured bacterium. RNAcentral's name for it is "bacterial SSU rRNA". It matches the Rfam family "Bacterial small subunit ribosomal RNA", at positions 338 to 793 of the family's 1533-position model. The record is from RNAcentral.
CCUACGGGAUGCACCAGUGGGGAAUAUUGCACAACGGGCGCAAGCCUGAUGCAGCCAUGCCGCGUGUACGAAGAAGGCCUUCGGGUUGUAAAGUACUUUCAGCGGGGAGGAAGGUGUUGUGGUUAAUAACCGCAGCAAUUGACGUUACCCGCAGAAGAAGCACCGGCUAACUCCGUGCCAGCAGCCGCGGUAAUACGGAGGGUGCAAGCGUUAAUCGGAAUUACUGAGCGUAAAGCGCACGCAGGCGGUCUGUCAAGUCGGAUGUGAAAUCCCCGGGCUCAACCUGGGAACUGCAUUCGAAACUGGCAGGCUAGAGUCUUGUAGAGGGGGGUAGAAUUCCAGGUGUAGCGGUGAAAUGCGUAGAGAUCUGGAGGAAUACCGGUGGCGAAGGCGGCCCCCUGGACAAAGACUGACGCUCAGGUGCGAAAGCGUGGGGAGCAAACAGGAUUAGAUACCCCGGUAG